GGGGAAUUUUGGACAAUGGGCGCAAGCCUGAUCCAGCCAUGCCGCGUGUCUGAAGAAGGCCUUCGGGUUGUAAAGGACUUUUGUCAGGGAAGAAAAGGCUGUUGCUAAUACCGACAGCUGAUGACGGUACCUGAAGAAUAAGCACCGGCUAACUACGUGCCAGCAGCCGCGGUAAUACGUAGGGUGCGAGCGUUAAUCGGAAUUACCGGGCGUAAAGCGAGCGCAGACGGUUACUUAAGCAGGAUGUGAAAUCCCCGGGCUCAACCUGGGAACUGCGUUCUGAACUGGGUGACUAGAGUGUGUCAGAGGGAGGUAGAAUUCCACGUGUAGCAGUGAAAUGCGUAGAGAUGUGGAGGAAUACCGAUGGCGAAGGCAGCCUCCUGGGAUAACACUGACGUUCAUGCUCGAAAGCGUGGGUAGCAAACAGGAUUAGAUACCCUGGUAGUCCACGCCCUAAACGAUGUCAAUUAGCUGUUGGGCAACUUGAUUGCUUAGUAGCGUAGCUAACGCGUGAAAUUGACCGCCUGGGGAGUACGGUCGCAAGAUUA
RNAcentral lists this ribosomal RNA (548 nucleotides) under uncultured bacterium. RNAcentral's name for it is "bacterial SSU rRNA". It matches the Rfam family "Bacterial small subunit ribosomal RNA", at positions 356 to 896 of the family's 1533-position model. The record is from RNAcentral.